CUAUAUUAGGAGCCCGACUGUUUGUUUGAUACACAGUGCACAUCAACACUGCAUUAGGUAACAACAAUGGCGACUUUAAUUUCAUUAUUAGCAGUAACGGCAGUAUUAGCAACGCCUAGUGCAGCAUUAGAGAGCAGUAGCGACCCACAGAGCGACGCUUGCGCCAAAUUGUCGUCGUGUGCCACUUGCCUCAGUAAAAGUUAUUGUUCCUGGUGCGUUACCAAGAGCAAAUGUACGAAACAGUCUUGCGGCAACGACAACGUUAUCUACCCCAAAAGCGUUAAGGCUUUAAUGUCCGGACCCCAAUUCUGCCCGAGAAUUGUCCGCCCGGAGAAAGAGCUCGCAUUCGAGAGCGGAAAAAAGCAAAUCUUAAGCGUUAAAAUCACACAGAUCUAUUUAUACAUGGCUUUUACUACUUGGAAAUGCAGAAUCAGUUUGAACGACGAAGAAAUUGAUGUGAACGCAGUGCUGCUUGCUGACGAGGUGUAUUGUGACUCUGUAGUACUGAGUAAUAAAUCAGAUAAGCCUGAAGCAGCAGGCAGUGUGACGCUGCUGUGGGAACAGAAUAAGGUGCUCGACGGGAGUGUGCCUUUCAUAGUGUGUCGGUGUGAUAUGGAUUCUGGUUGUGCAGUUUGUAAAUAGGUUAAACAGAUUCCUUGUGAAUGAUGAUUAAAGUUAUUAGAGCACUGGCACAAAAUAUUAUAUCAAGACGUACAAUGUUAGUAUUAGUAAUGUAAUUUUUAUAAUAUGAAAUAUUUUCAAUUGUAAUUAAAAUAUCUAAUCUUAUGUAAUUAUUGUUCAAAUUCAUUAAGUCAAUAAUUAAAUGUAAUAUGUGCUAAAUAUUGUGAAAUCCCAUUGGCUCAUAAUACCUUCAACAGUUAUUUAUUUUUAAAUAACUGUUAUGUUAUAUUAAGUUUUAUUAAGUAAACACGUGUUAUAGUAAUAAAUAUAGCUGCUAACUGUUCUACAAGCUGA
Ostrinia nubilalis (European corn borer) is the source of this 975-nucleotide long non-coding RNA. RefSeq lists it as uncharacterized. NCBI's taxonomy places the organism in Eukaryota, Metazoa, Arthropoda, Insecta, Lepidoptera, Crambidae. The record is from RefSeq and is a predicted model, not a curated record. The transcript is spliced from 2 exons.